RNAcentral lists this ribosomal RNA (253 nucleotides) under uncultured bacterium. RNAcentral describes it as "partial 16S ribosomal RNA". It matches the Rfam family "Bacterial small subunit ribosomal RNA", at positions 524 to 776 of the family's 1533-position model. The record is from RNAcentral.
UACAGAGGGUGCAAACGUUGUUCGGAAUUACUGGGCGUAAAGCGCGUGCAGGCGGCCUUGCAAGUCGGACGUGAAAUCCCACGGCUCAACCGUGGAAGUGCAUUCGAAACUGCGAGGCUGGAGUCCUGGAGAGGAAAGUGGAAUACUCGGUGUAGAGGUGAAAUUCGUAGAUAUCGGGAGGAACACCAGUGGCGAAAGCGGCGACCUGGGCCAAUAUUGACGCUGAGGUGCGAAAGCGUGGGGAGCAAACAGG